This 889-nucleotide ribosomal RNA is filed under the name uncultured bacterium. RNAcentral's name for it is "bacterial SSU rRNA". It matches the Rfam family "Bacterial small subunit ribosomal RNA", at positions 8 to 927 of the family's 1533-position model. The record is from RNAcentral.
AGAGUUUGAUCCUGGCUCAGGACGAACGCUGGCGGCGUGCCUAACACAUGCAAGUCGAAGGGGUAAUGACUUCGGUUAUUACUUAGUGGCGAACGGGUGAGUAACGCGUGAGGAACCUCCUCUCAGUGGGGGACAACAGUUGGAAACGACUGCUAAUACCGCAUAACACUUCUGAAUGCAUCAUUUGGAAGUCAAAGCUUUAUGUGCUGAGAGAUGGCCUCGCGUCUGAUUAGCUAUUGGUGGGGUAACGGCUCACCAAGGUGACGAUCAGUAGCCGGUCUGAGAGGAUGAACGGCACAUUGGGACUGAGAUACGGCCCAGACUCCUACGGGAGGCAGCAGUGGGGAAUAUUGGCAAUGGGGGAAACCCUGACCCAGCAACGCCGCGUGAAGGAAGAAGGCCCUCGGGUUGUAACUUCUUUUACCAGGGACGAAGAACGUGACGGUACCUGGAGAAAAAGCCACGGCUAACUCGUGCCAGCAGCCGCGGUAAUACGUAGGUGGCAAGCGUUGUCCGGAUUUACUGGGUGUAAGGGCGUGUAGGCGGAGAUGCAAGUUGGGAGUGAAAUCCCGGGGCUCAACCCCGGAACUCUUUCAAAACUGUAUCCCUUGAGUGUCGGAGAGGCAAGCGGAAUUCCUAGUGUAGCGGUAAAUGCGUAGAUAUUAGGAGGAACACCAGUGGCGAAGGCGGCUUGCUGGACGAUAACUGCGCUGAGGCGCGAAAGCGUGGGGAGCAAACAGGAUUAGAUACCCUGGUAGUCCACGCUGAAACGAUGAAUACUAGGUGUGGGAGGACUGACCCCUUCCGUGCCGCAGUUAACACAAUAGUAUUCCACCUGGGGAGUACGACCGCAAGGUUGAAACUCAAAGGAAUUGACGGGGGCCCCACA